GGAGGGUCCGAGCGUUAUCCGGAAUUACUGGGUUUAAAGGGUCCGCAGGCGGUCGAUUAAGUCAGAGGUGAAAUCCCAUAGCUCACUAUGGAACUGCCUUUGAUACUGGUUGACUUGAGUCAUAUGGAAGUAGAUAGAAUGUGUAGUGUAGCGGUGAAAUGCAUAGAUAUUACACAGAAUACCGAUUGCGAAGGCAGCUUACUAGCUUGAUACUGACGCUGAGGGGACGAAAGCGUGGGGAGCGAACAGGAUUAGAUACCCUGGUAGUCCACGCCGUAAACGAUG
Molecule: ribosomal RNA, 285 nt
Filed under: uncultured marine bacterium
Lineage: Bacteria
Description: partial 16S ribosomal RNA
Rfam family: Bacterial small subunit ribosomal RNA
Source: RNAcentral